AUGAUGCGCGUGGGAAAUGGUUCCAAAGUCGAUGUGAUCGUCGUCGACACGCUACCUCUACAUCUACCUUCGGAAUUAGUUUUAGACCUAAAUAAUUGUUAUUUGAUGCCAGCGUUGGGCAUGAACAUUAUAUCUGGAUCUUGUUUGAUGCGAGACGGUUAUUCAUUUAAAUCAGAGAAUAAUGGUUAUUCUAUUUAUAUGAGUAAUAUCUUUUAUGGUCAUGCACCCUUGAUGAGUGGUCUAUUUUUACUAAAUCUUGAUAAUAGUGAUACACAUGUUCAUAGUAUUGAAGCCAAAAGAUAUAAGUUUAAUAAUGAUAGUGCAACUUAUUUGUGGCACUGCCGCUUAGGUCAUAUUGGUGUAAAGCGCAUGAAGAAACUCCAUGCUGAUGGGCUUUUGGAAUCACUUGAUUAUGAAUCACUUAAUGCUUGCGAACCAUGCCUCAUGGGCAAGAUGACUAAGACUCCGUUCUCCGGAACAAUGGAGCGAGCAACAGACUUGUUGGAAAUAAUACAUACUGAUGUAUGCGGUCCGAUGAGUGUUGAUGCUCGCGGCGUGUAUCGUUAUUUCUUAUCUUCACAGAUGAUUUGA
Molecule: ribosomal RNA, 591 nt
Filed under: Triticum aestivum (bread wheat)
Lineage: Eukaryota; Viridiplantae; Streptophyta; Magnoliopsida; Poales; Poaceae
Description: partial small subunit ribosomal RNA
Source: RNAcentral